RNAcentral lists this ribosomal RNA (622 nucleotides) under Mrakia frigida. Its description in RNAcentral is "partial large subunit ribosomal RNA". It matches the Rfam family "Eukaryotic large subunit ribosomal RNA", at positions 52 to 657 of the family's 3401-position model. The record is from RNAcentral. Lineage: Eukaryota; Fungi; Basidiomycota; Tremellomycetes; Cystofilobasidiales; Mrakiaceae.
GGAGGAAAAGAAACUAACAAGGAUUCCCCUAGUAACGGCGAGUGAAGCGGGAUGAGCUCAAAUUUAAAAUCUGGCGGCCUCAGGUCGUCCGAGUUGUAGUCUAGAGAAUCGUUUUCCGCGUUGGCCUGUGUACAAGUCCCUUGGAACAGGGCGUCAUAGAGGGUGAGAAUCCCGUCCUUGACACAGACUACCAAUGCUUUGUGAUGCGAUCUCGAAGAGUCGAGUUGUUUGGGAAUGCAGCUCAAAAUGGGUGGUAAAUUCCAUCUAAAGCUAAAUAUUGGCGAGAGACCGAUAGCGAACAAGUACCGUGAGGGAAAGAUGAAAAGCACUUUGGAAAGAGAGUUAAACAGUACGUGAAAUUGUUAAAAGGGAAACGAUUGAAGUCAGUCAUGCUUUCCGAGACUCAGCCGAUUCUGUCGGUGUACUUCUCGGUUGGCAGGCCAGCAUCAGUUUCGAUCUGUGGAAAAGGUUGGAGGGAACGUGGCAUCCUCGGAUGUGUUAUAGCCCUUCUUCGAAUACAUAGAGCGGGACUGAGGAACGCAGCGCGCCUUUUAUUAGGUUGGCCCUCGGGUACAUACGCGCUUAGGAUGCUGGCAUAAUGGCUUUAAACGACCCGUCUUGA